AGAGUUUGAUCAUGGCUCAGGACGAACGCUGGCGGCGCGCCUAACACAUGCAAGUCGAACGGAGUUUAUCCGACUGAAGUUUUCGGAUGGAAGAUGGAUAAACUUAGUGGCGGACGGGUGAGUAACACGUGAGCAACCUGCCUUUCAGAGGGGGAUAACGAUUGGAAACGAUCGCUAAUACCGCAUAACAUUAUGAGGAGACAUCUUCUUAUAAUCAAAGGAGCAAUCCGCUGAAAGAUGGGCUCGCGGCCGAUUAGCUAGAUGGUGGGGUAACGGCCCACCAUGGCGACGAUCGGUAGCCGGACUGAGAGGUUGAACGGCCACAUUGGGACUGAGACACGGCCCAG
This 347-nucleotide ribosomal RNA is filed under the name uncultured bacterium. RNAcentral describes it as "bacterial SSU rRNA". It matches the Rfam family "Bacterial small subunit ribosomal RNA", at positions 8 to 334 of the family's 1533-position model. The record is from RNAcentral.